UAGAAAUCUGGUAUCUUACAUCCUCCCCUCCUUAAUAAAAGUUUCGUCCCCGAAACUAACUUCUACCCCAAUUCACACUUAUCGAGUAUCAAGGGUAUAAUGCACUUUUCCACCUCAGAGUGGCCUUAUGCUCAUUGGAACUGUCCAAUGGCCCACUACGGCGGAUGUGAGACUAGAUUCACUCACAUUUGCCAUGUGUAAGUCCAAA
This 208-nucleotide long non-coding RNA is filed under the name Ananas comosus (pineapple). RNAcentral's name for it is "long non-coding RNA (ACOM_LNC042992)". The record is from RNAcentral. Lineage: Eukaryota; Viridiplantae; Streptophyta; Magnoliopsida; Poales; Bromeliaceae.